Molecule: ribosomal RNA, 447 nt
Filed under: uncultured bacterium
Lineage: Bacteria
Description: bacterial SSU rRNA
Rfam family: Bacterial small subunit ribosomal RNA
Source: RNAcentral
UGGGGAAUAUUGGACAAUGGGCGAAAGCCUGAUCCAGCCAUGCCGCGUGAGUGACGAAGGCCUUAGGGUUGUAAAACUCUUUCGUCGGGGACGAUAAUGACGGUACCCGAAGAAGAAGCUCCGGCUAACUUCGUGCCAGCAGCCGCGGUAAUACGAAGGGAGCUAGCGUUGUUCGGAAUCACUGGGCGUAAAGCGCAUGUAGGCGGAUAGUUAAGUCAGGGGUGAAAUCCUGGGGCUCAACCCCAGAACUGCCUUUGAUACUGGCUGUCUCGAGGUCGAGAGAGGUUGGUGGAAUUCCUAGUGUAGAGGUGAAAUUCGUAGAUAUUGGGAAGAACACCAGUGGCGAAGGCGGCUAACUGGUCCGGUACUGACGCUGAGGUGCGAAAGCGUGGGGAGCAAACAGGAUUAGAUACCCGUGUAGUCCCUGAGCGGGCUGGCAAGGCGCAU